Molecule: long non-coding RNA, 1744 nt
Organism: Bubalus bubalis (water buffalo)
Lineage: Eukaryota; Metazoa; Chordata; Mammalia; Artiodactyla; Bovidae
Exons: 2
Source: RefSeq, a predicted model, not a curated record
GAAGUCCAAUAUGAUUGGCCCCGGAGGCUCGUCCCCGUACCGCCCCUGGCGGGGGCCAUGCUCCCGAAUAGCAGGUUGGACCUGGCCGCUGUCACUCAGCCCCGGGGGUCCAAAAGCGCGUGUAGGGGCGAGGCUGGGGAAUUGGUCCACCUUGACCCUGGAGCCCCGCCUUCUGGUGGGCGGGACUGGUGGAGCUGUAGACCAACCAAGAAAGAUAGGUCGGCGUCUGAAACAAAGCAAGCGAAGUGUUUCCCAAAGAACUGAGAAGGGGAAGAGCUGUUGGUGCGGCUUGUUCCCGCUGCACUGAGUAGGGGAACUAGCUCUUCUCCGCUGACUCGACGAGUCGGAGUCUCCUGCUUGUCUCUCACGCCUCCGAGCGGCUCUCUGCGGGAGCCCAGUCCGCGACGAAGUUGGACUGUGACUUCGCUUGCUGGCUGUUUCCUGCAGCUAUAGACUGGUAAAGAAUCGCCGCGUCUUUAUUUCCAGCAAACCCUCUGCAACAACACAUUUCCUCCUCCUUCGUCACAAACGAGCUGUUCUAAAGGCUUCGACUGCUCCAUGGUCGGUGAUACACAUUUGUGUGCCCGCAGACCACAUGCAGAAAACCAGCGGCCACUCUCUGAGCUUCGGGCUCAGGCUGGCACCUGAGCAAGUCCAGGGCUCAGGUCACCAGCCCUCGAAGGACAGUAAGCGUCAGCUAAGCGAACCUAAGUCAAUGACGGCAAGAAGCGGUCCGAAAAACUGUUGUUUGGCUGUUAUUUGGCAGAGGAAAGAGUUAGUUUAGAUGACUUCUUCUGACCCUUGAGCUUCCUCAGUCAAGAAUUCUCACCAUUUUCCAGAGUUCCGACGAGUUUUUCGCAAGGCUUUCAAACCAACUCAUCACACUCACCAUAUUAUUGUAGCGGAAUAAUAUUUUGAGAUAUUAGUGGAGGACCGCCUCUCCUAUCCCAGCCACAGCACACAAACACCACUUCCCUGUGUGCAGAAGCCUUGCCCCAUCCUGCAGCUAGGCCAUUCCACCCUCCCGCCUUAGAGAAUGGAUGACACUAAAAACAGCUGGUAACUAAUGAGUCGUUUUGGUUUUAGACUUAAACAGCCAAAGCUUUAUGAGUUUCAGGGUUCCGAAAUUUAUGUUUCAAAUCAGGGCAUAAAUAUUAAGGCCAAAAACAGCCUAUUUGAAAGAACAAGAUGAAACCAAUUCCUCCGUCCCACAUCACUCCCCUUGUAAUAUACUCCAUCUUUGUUAAUCCCUAAUGCCUCAUUUUGUAUCUAUCAUGCUUCUAUCUUUCAAAUACUUAUGAAUCACUCCAUCUAAUAAUAGAUUCUCAGAAUUGAACCUGAAUUUAUCCACUUCAGGUUCAAUUCAGACAAGACAAGAAUCUCAUCUCUUCAUUGGUGACCUUUAACCUAACAGAGCAUCAGCUGGGCCCUGCAGAGAUGGAUAGGUACCUCUGGACUCUGAAAUGAGGCAUCCUUUUGGGGCAGAUCUAAUUGUACGAACGUCUGUCCUUACUUAGCCUGAGCAGAGAAACUGCUCCUGCAUUCUUUAUACCAUUUGUGUUUUCAACUUACUCUACACAUCUAAGAAGUACUUAUAGUUCAUCCAAGUUUAUAAUAUUUUGAAUAUGUGAUAUUUGUGUGGCUUUUUACUGCUUAUCAUGGUACUUCAAGGGCUGAGACACAUGUUUUUUUGCACAAAAAUGGACUUGUUACUUGACACCUCUAAAUUAAAAUCAGACCAAAA